This 503-nucleotide ribosomal RNA is filed under the name uncultured bacterium. Its description in RNAcentral is "partial 16S ribosomal RNA". It matches the Rfam family "Bacterial small subunit ribosomal RNA", at positions 29 to 523 of the family's 1533-position model. The record is from RNAcentral.
AACGAACGCUGGCGGCACGUUUUAAGCAUGCAAGUCGAAUGGCAGUGGGGGCAACCCCAUGAGAAUGGCGAACGGGUGAGUAACACGUAGGUGAUCUGCCUGACGGAUGGGGAUAGCUUGUGGAAACACAGGGUAAUACCGAAUGAGCUGACGAGACUUUGGUUUUGUUAGUAAAGGUGCUACGGCACCGCCGACAGAGGAGCCUGCGGCUGAUUAGCUAGUUGGUGGGGUAAAGGCCUACCAAGGCGAAGAUCAGUAGCCGGCCUGAGAGGGUGUACGGCCACACUAGAACUGAGACACGGUCCAGACUCCUACGGGAGGCAGCAGCUAAGAAUCUUCCGCAAUGGGCGAAAGCCUGACGGAGCGAUGCCGCGUGAUCGAUGAAGGUCGAGAGAUUGUAAAGAUCUUUUCUACAUGAGGAAUAAGUCUGGGAGGGAAUGCCUGGAUGAUGACGUUAGUGUAGGAAUAAGCCCCGGCUAAUUACGUGCCAGCCGCCGCGGUAA